AGCGAACGCUGGCGGCAGGCUUAACACAUGCAAGUCGAACGCCCCGCAAGGGGAGUGGCAGACGGAUGAGUAACACGUGGGAACGUACCCUUUGGUUCGGAAUAACUUGGGGAAACUCAAGCUAAUACCGGAUAAGCCCUUAUGGGGAAAGGUUUACUGCCGAAGGAUCGGCCCGCGUCUGAUUAGCUAGUUGGUGAGGUAAUGGCUCACCAAGGCGACGAUCAGUAGCUGGUCUGAGAGGAUGAUCAGCCACACUGGGACUGAGACACGGCCCAGACUCUUACGGGAGGCAGCAGUGGGGAAUAUUGGACAAUGGGGCAACCCUGAUCCAGCCAUGCCGCGUGAGUGAUGAAGGCCUUAGGGUUGUAAAGCUCUUUUACCCGGGACGAUAAUGACUGUACCGGGAGAAUAAGCCCCGGCUAACUUCGUGCCAGCCGCCGCGGUAA
Molecule: ribosomal RNA, 446 nt
Filed under: uncultured bacterium
Lineage: Bacteria
Description: partial 16S ribosomal RNA
Rfam family: Bacterial small subunit ribosomal RNA
Source: RNAcentral